This 59-nucleotide transfer RNA is filed under the name Laonastes aenigmamus (Laotian rock rat). Its description in RNAcentral is "tRNA-Ser". The record is from RNAcentral. Lineage: Eukaryota; Metazoa; Chordata; Mammalia; Rodentia; Laonastidae.
AAGAAAGUUUAAAGAACUGCUAACUCUUUACCCCAUAAUUAACCACUAUGGCUUUCUUA